This 492-nucleotide ribosomal RNA is filed under the name uncultured bacterium. RNAcentral's name for it is "partial 16S ribosomal RNA". It matches the Rfam family "Bacterial small subunit ribosomal RNA", at positions 30 to 507 of the family's 1533-position model. The record is from RNAcentral.
AGUGAACGCUGGCGGUAGGCCUAACACAUGCAAGUCGAACGGCAGCACAGUAGGAGCCUGCUGGUAGGGGGGGGGAGUGGCGGGAGGGAGAGGAAGAAACAGGACUCUACGUUUUGGUGAGCGAGGCGGAAGGGGAAUUAACGCUAAUAACGCAUACGACCUGAGGGUGAAAGAAGUGGAUCUUUCGAGCUAUCGCGUUUGCCUGUGCCGAUGUCGGAUUAGCUAGUUGGAGGGGUAAACCCCCGCCAAGGCGACGAGCCGUAGCUGGUCUGAGAGGAUCACCAGCCACACUGGGACUGAGACACGGCCCAGACUCCUACGGGAGGCAGCAGUGGGGAAUAUUGGACAAUGGGCGAAAGCCUGAUCCAGCAAUGCCGCGUGGGUGAAGAAGGCCUUCGGGUUGUAAAGCCCUUUUGUUGGGAAAGAAAAGCAUCAGGUUAAUACCGUGGUGUGAUGACGGUACCGAAAGAAUAAGCACCGGCUAACUACGUG